RNAcentral lists this ribosomal RNA (156 nucleotides) under Chlamydia suis. RNAcentral describes it as "partial 16S ribosomal RNA". The record is from RNAcentral. Lineage: Bacteria; Pseudomonadati; Chlamydiota; Chlamydiia; Chlamydiales; Chlamydiaceae.
UAACACCAUCUAGAUGCCUAAAUGGUGCCACAUUCGGUAUUAGCGGCCGUUUCCAACCGUUAUUCCCAAGUUAAAGACAAAUUAUCUAUGCAUUACUAACCCUUCCGCCACUAAACAGUUAAAAACUGUUCCGUUCGACUUGCAUGCCUCAUCCAC